AGCCUCCUGGUGCUUACCACAGGCUGUGUUCUUAUACUGACUAUAUCGAAAAAGGAGUCAGAGUAUCUAUCCUAUAUACACCUCAGUCCCGGCCCUAUGCCUGGUUUGUAUUGUGAAUGGGGGGACAUGG
Molecule: small nucleolar RNA, 130 nt
Filed under: Carlito syrichta (Philippine tarsier)
Lineage: Eukaryota; Metazoa; Chordata; Mammalia; Primates; Tarsiidae
Description: Small nucleolar RNA SNORA51 (ENSTSYG00000028201.1)
Rfam family: Small nucleolar RNA SNORA51
About the family: ACA51 is a member of the H/ACA class of snoRNA that guide the sites of modification of uridines to pseudouridines.
Source: Rfam by way of RNAcentral